GGGGAUUUGGCUCGGUGGUAGAGCGCUUGCCUAGGAAGCGCAAGGUCCUGGGUUCGAUGCCCAGCCCCG
Molecule: transfer RNA, 69 nt
Filed under: Rattus norvegicus (Norway rat)
Lineage: Eukaryota; Metazoa; Chordata; Mammalia; Rodentia; Muridae
Rfam family: tRNA
About the family: Transfer RNA (tRNA) molecules are approximately 80 nucleotides in length. Their secondary structure includes four short double-helical elements and three loops (D, anti-codon, and T loops).
Source: Rfam by way of RNAcentral